AAAGAUAGAGGCGCGGCAUUUAAGAGUACUCCCGUUCAAUGACAGGCAUCAGAAUCGGAGGAAAGGAACUGCCGCCGAAGCUGAAAGCCUGCCUGGGGUUUUCUUGCUGGGGUUUUACAGAAUAUGUACUGCCCUGUCACAUGUGUGGAGCGCUAUCAG
This 159-nucleotide non-coding RNA is filed under the name human gut metagenome. Its description in RNAcentral is "Lysine riboswitch". It matches the Rfam family "Lysine riboswitch aptamer". Rfam says of the family: Riboswitches are metabolite binding domains within certain messenger RNAs that serve as precision sensors for their corresponding targets. Allosteric rearrangement of mRNA structure is mediated by ligand binding, and this results in modulation of gene expression. This family includes riboswitches that sense lysine in a number of genes involved in lysine metabolism, including lysC. The record is from RNAcentral.